UUUGUAGGUGUGGUUGACAGAGCAGUUGGUGGCAGGCGCUAGGAGCGACGACGGCUAGGGUUUUUUUUGUCUUUUUUCUUUUCUGAAAACUUAGUUUAGGUUGUGGGCCACUGGGCCAUUUGGUUUUUUUAUUUUAUUUUGGGCUAUUUGUAAUUGAACUUUAUUUUUUUUGUUUUAUUAUUAGGCCUGGGCAAAAUUCGGCUCUCAUAGCUGCCCCUCUUUACUCGUUGUCGUGUAAUGAGAAUGGAGCAAAGACUUUUAAGGAAGACAAAUUUCGUCUGGUCUCACCGAAUCUUGAUCUCUUUAGUGCUCAUCUUUUUCAAGUAGCUUUAUACUAACCC
RNAcentral lists this long non-coding RNA (341 nucleotides) under Gossypium raimondii (Peruvian cotton). RNAcentral describes it as "long non-coding RNA (GRAI_LNC010886)". Lineage: Eukaryota; Viridiplantae; Streptophyta; Magnoliopsida; Malvales; Malvaceae. The record is from RNAcentral.